Molecule: long non-coding RNA, 1936 nt
Organism: Eriocheir sinensis (Chinese mitten crab)
Lineage: Eukaryota; Metazoa; Arthropoda; Malacostraca; Decapoda; Varunidae
Exons: 5
Source: RefSeq, a predicted model, not a curated record
CCCGGGCAGGUGGAGGUCGUUAGCCGUGGUAGGCAAUCUGCCUAGGAGAGCAAACUCUAUACAAACCCGGGCAGGUGAGGCUCGUUAGCCGUGGUAGGCAAUUCACCUAGGAGAGCAAACUCUAUACAAACCCGGGCAGGUGGAGGUCGUUAGCCGUGGGAGGCAAUUCACCUAGGAGAGCAAACUCCGAACAAUAAACCCGGGCAGGUGGAGGUCGUUAGCCGUGGUAGGCAAUUCACCUAGGAGAGCAAACUCUAUACAAACCCGGGCAGGUGGAGGUCGUUAGCCGUGGUAGGCAAUUCACCUAGGAGAGCAAACUCUAUACAAACCCGGGCAGGUGGAGGUCGUUAGCCGUGGUAGGCAAUUCACCUAGGAGAGCAAACUCCGAACAAUAAACCCGGGCAGGUGGAGGUCGUUAGCCGUGGGAGGCAAUUCACCUAGGAGAGCAAACUCCGAACAAUAAACCCGGGCAGGUGGAGGUCGUUAGCCGUGGGAGGCAAUUCACCUAGGAGAGCAAACUCCGAACAAUAAACCCGGGCAGGUGGAGGUCGUUAGCCGUGGUAGGCAAUUCACCUAGGAGAGCAAACUCUAAACAAACCCGGGCAGGUGGAGGUCGUUAGCCGUGGGAGGCAAUUCACCUAGGAGAGCAAACUCCGAACAACAAACCCGGGCAGGUGGAGGUCGUUAGCCGUGGUAGGCAAUUCACCUAGGAGAGCAAACUCUAAACAAACCCGGGCAGGUGAGGCUCGUUAGCCGUGGUAGGCAGUUCACCUAGGAGAGCAAACUCCGAACAACAAACCCGGGCAGGUGGAGGUCGUCAGCCGUGGUAGGCAAUCUUCCUAGGAGAGCAAACUCCGAACAACAAACCCGGGCAGGUGGAGCUCGUCAGCCGUGGUAGGCAAUCUUCCUAGGAGAGCAAACUCCGAACAACAAACCCGGGCAGGUGGAGCUCGUCAGCCGUGGUAGGCAAUCUGCCUAGGAGAGCAAACUCCGAACAAUAAACCCGGGCAGGUGGAGGUCGUCAGCCGUGGUAGGCAGUCUGCCUAGGAGAGCAAACUCCGAACAAUAAACCCGGGCAGGUGGAGCUCGUUAGCCGUGGUAGGCAGUCUGCCUAGGAGAGCAAACUCUAAACAAACCCGGGCAGGUGGAGGUCGUCAGCCGUGGUAGGCAAUCUGCCUAGGAGAGCAAACUCUAAAUAAACCCGGGCUUGUGGUGCUCGUUAUACUGUCGUAGACAAUCCACGCGAUGGGAACACCAAAGAAAAGGAAAAUAAAAAAGAACACCAGAAAAAUGGAAAAUACAGAAACGAAACAUCAAUAAAAGAAACAAAAAGAUCAUCCACCUUUAGGCCCUAACAUCGCCAAAAUUAUGGGUGGGUCUCUUCUGGGGAGAAAGCGGCUCACCCAGACCAAAGAACAUCAACAAGGGAUGAUAUAGAAAAGAACACCAAAAAAAUAUGGAAAAAGAACAGAAAAAACAUCGAAAAAGAAAAGCAACAGAAAUAAAUGAGCAACAUCGAGAAAAGAAAUACAAAGAAACAUCAUCCACCUUUCGGCCCCAAACAACAUCACCAAAAUUAUGGAUGGGUCUCUUCUGGGAGGAAAGCGGCUCAUCCAGACCAAGGAACAUCAACAAAAGGAUGAUGGGAAAAAAAUAACAACAAAAAACAUCAAAAAGAAGUAAAAAGAAAAAGAACAGGAAAACAUCGAAAAAGAAAACAAAAGCAAUAAAAAGAACGAAAAACACGACAUCAAGAAAAUAAAAUAAAACAAACAUCAUCCACCUUUCUGCCCUAACAACAUCUCCAAAAUUAUGGGUGGGUCUCUUCUGGGAGGAAAGCGGCUCACCCAGACCAACGAACAUCAACAAAAGGAUGAUAGGAAAAAAGAACACCAAAAAAGAACAUAAAGAAAGAAAACCAACAGCAAGAAAACAC